This 734-nucleotide ribosomal RNA is filed under the name uncultured bacterium. RNAcentral describes it as "bacterial SSU rRNA". It matches the Rfam family "Bacterial small subunit ribosomal RNA", at positions 49 to 772 of the family's 1533-position model. The record is from RNAcentral.
UAACACAUGCAAGUCGAGGGGCAGCAUGGUCUUAGCUUGCUAAGGCCGAUGGCGACCGGCGCACGGGUGAGUAACACGUAUCCAACCUGCCGUCUACUCUUGGACAGCCUUCUGAAAGGAAGAUUAAUACAAGAUGGCAUCAUGAGUCCGCAUGUCCACAUGAUUAAAGGUAUUCCGGUAGACGAUGGGGAUGCGUUCCAUUAGAUAGUAGGCGGGGUGACGGCCCACCUAGUCUUCGAUGGAUAGGGGUUCUGAGAGGAAGGUCCCCCACAUUGGAACUGAGACACGGUCCAAACUCCUACGGGAGGCAGCAGUGAGGAAUAUUGGUCAAUGGGCGAGAGCCUGAACCAGCCAAGUAGCGUGAAGGAUGACUGCCCUAUGGGUUGUAAACUUCUUUUAUAAAGGAAUAAAGUCGGGUAUGGAUACCCGUUUGCAUGUACUUUAUGAAUAAGGAUCGGCUAACUCCGUGCCAGCAGCCGCGGUAAUACGGAGGAUCCGAGCGUUAUCCGGAUUUAUUGGGUUUAAAGGGAGCGUAGAUGGAUGUUUAAGUCAGUUGUGAAAGUUUGCGGCUCAACCGUAAAAUUGCAGUUGAUACUGGAUAUCUUGAGUGCAGUUGAGGCAGGCGGAAUUCGUGGUGUAGCGGUGAAAUGCUUAGAUAUCACGAAGAACUCCGAUUGCGAAGGCAGCCUGCUAAGCUGCAACUGACAUUGAGGCUCGAAAGUGUGGGUAUCAAA